Molecule: ribosomal RNA, 578 nt
Filed under: Acinetobacter pittii
Lineage: Bacteria; Pseudomonadati; Pseudomonadota; Gammaproteobacteria; Moraxellales; Moraxellaceae
Description: bacterial LSU rRNA
Rfam family: Bacterial large subunit ribosomal RNA
Source: RNAcentral
GUUGUAUAGUCAAGUAAUUAAGUGCAUGUGGUGGAUGCCUUGGCAGUCAGAGGCGAUGAAAGACGUGAUAGCCUGCGAAAAGCUCCGGGGAGGCGGCAAAUAUCCUUUGAUCCGGAGAUUUCUGAAUGGGGGAACCCACCUACUUUAAGGUAGGUAUUGCAACAUGAAUACAUAGUGUUGCAAGGCGAACGAGGGGAAGUGAAACAUCUCAGUACCCUUAGGAAAAGAAAUCAAUUGAGAUUCCCUCAGUAGCGGCGAGCGAACGGGGAUCAGCCCAUUAAGUUAUGUGUGUUUUAGUGGAACGCUCUGGGAAGUGCGAACGUAGAGGGUGAUAUUCCCGUACACGAAAGGGCACACAUAAUGAUGACGAGUAGGGCGAGGCACGUGAAACCUUGUCUGAAUAUGGGGGGACCAUCCUCCAAGGCUAAAUACUCCUGACUGACCGAUAGUGAACCAGUACCGUGAGGGAAAGGCGAAAAGAACCCCUGUGAGGGGAGUGAAAUAGAUCCUGAAACCGCAUGCAUACAAGCAGUGGGAGCACCUUCGUGGUGUGACUGCGUACCUUUUGUAUAAUGGGU